AAGCCUGAUGCAGCGACCCGCGUGAAGGAUGACCGCCUUCGGGUGUUAAACCUCCUUCAGUAGGAAAGAAGCGAGAGUGACGGUACCUGCAGAAGAAGCGCCGGCUAACUACGUGCCAGCAGCCGCGUUAAUACGUAGGGCGCAAGCGUCGUCCGGAAUUAUGGGCCGUAAGAAGCUCGUAGGCGGUUUGUCGCGUCUGCUGUGAAGCCCGGGGCUCAACCCCGGUUCUGCAGUGGGUACGGCCAGACUAGAGUGCAGUAGGGAGACUGGAAUUCCUGGUGUAGCGGUGAAAUGCGCAGAUAUCAGGAGGAACACCGAUGGCGAAGGCAGGUCUCUGGGCUGUUACUGACGCUGAGGAGCGAAAGCAUGGGGAGCGAACAGGAUUAGAUACCUGGUAGUCCAUGCCGUAAACGUUGGGCACUAGGUGUGGGGGACAUUCCACGUUUUCCGCGCCGUAGCUAACGCAUUAAGUGCCCCGCCUGGGGAGUACGGCCGCAAGGCUAAAACUCAAAGGAAUUGACGGGGGCCCGCACAAGCGGCGGAGCAUGCGGAUUAAUUCGAUGCAACGCGAAGAACCUUACCAAGGCUUGACAUUCACCGGACCGCCCCAGAGAUGGGGUUUCCCUUCGGGGCUGGUGGACAGGUGGUGCAUGGUUGUCGUCAGCUCGUGUCGUGAGAUGUUGGGUUAAGUCCCGCAACGAGCGCAACCCUCGUUCUAUGUUGCCAGCACGUGAUGGUGGGGACUCAUAGGAGACUGCCGGGGUCAACUCGGAGGAAGGUGGGGAUGACGUCAAAUCAUCAUGCCCCUUAUGUCUUGGGCUUCACGCAUGCUACAAUGGCCGGUACAAAGGGUUGCUAUACUGUGAGGUGGAGCUAAUCCCAAAAAGCCGGUCUCAGUUCGGAUUGAGGUCUGCAACUCGACCUCAUGAAGUCGGAGUCGCUAGUAAUCGCAGAUCAGCAACGCUGCGGUGAAUACGUUCCCGGGCCUUGUACACACCGCCCGUCAAGUCACGAAAGUUGGUAACACCCGAAGCCGGUGGCUCUAGAUCCGCAUCUCGUGGGUACGAUGAGAAC
This 1074-nucleotide ribosomal RNA is filed under the name Kocuria sediminis. Its description in RNAcentral is "bacterial SSU rRNA". It matches the Rfam family "Bacterial small subunit ribosomal RNA", at positions 379 to 1469 of the family's 1533-position model. The record is from RNAcentral. Lineage: Bacteria; Bacillati; Actinomycetota; Actinomycetes; Micrococcales; Micrococcaceae.